This 112-nucleotide ribosomal RNA is filed under the name Marinithermofilum abyssi. Lineage: Bacteria; Bacillati; Bacillota; Bacilli; Caryophanales; Thermoactinomycetaceae. The record is from RNAcentral.
UGGUGAUGAUAGCGGAGGGGAACCACCCGUUCCCAUACCGAACACGGAAGUUAAGCCCUCCAGCGCCGAUGGUACUGAGGGGGAGACCCCUUGGGAGAGUAGGACGUUGCCA